Molecule: long non-coding RNA, 1065 nt
Organism: Solea solea (common sole)
Lineage: Eukaryota; Metazoa; Chordata; Actinopteri; Pleuronectiformes; Soleidae
Exons: 4
Source: RefSeq, a predicted model, not a curated record
CUUCCAGCCUGUCAUAACUCCAGUCAGUCGUCUUUUGUUUUUCCUAAAUGUGACGUCAUGUUUUCUUCUUUAUGUCAAUUCUACUCAAGCGUCCAAACCGAAACAUAAAGUCCCGUCAAACGCGAACACAAUGUUAAAUGAGAUUAAAUGAACGAUUGUAAAUGAUCAUUUGGAUUAAAAGUGAAAUAAUAAUGUCAUAUAUUCAUAUUAUGAUCAAAAUAAUGACUUGAUUUAGUAGCUUUAAGUACUAUAAGUACUAUAAGUGCUUAAUGCACUAAAGUCGGAUGAAGUGCUUUUACUGUGAACUUUUGGAGUAAUCCAGGGUCAAAGUUGACUUGAACAAAACUGAGGUUAUUCUUUUUUUGAAGUGGUAUCAAAUCCACAUUUAUGAUUUAAAUGUAAUUGUACUUAGUACUUUUUGAUGUCCUUGAUGAACAAAUAUGCAGUUAAUAAGUAAUCCAGGAUCUAAUUGGACUUUUGCUCUCAAAACUGAGCUCAUCAGCUGACUUGAAUGCAGACAACAGCCCUUCAGUCACAUACAGAGUAGCCUAGCACCAUCUACUGGCACAAAUAUGUAAGUGACAUGAACAGCAGGUUUCAUAAAACACCUUCUCUGACAGAAAACUCCUGAUGUGUUACACUUUUCUCUCGUGUGAUCACUGGACUGAACACAGAUCCACAUCAGACGUCCUCCAGGAAACAUGAAGGAGAUUUUCCACUCAAACUGAGAGAAUGACUGAAGUCCAGCAGAUGAGUGGUUGUGUGGAGGAAGACGAGGACAGAGCAGAGUCUCCAGGACCCAGCGGUCUGUCUGUGAAGAGUGACCAGUCUAUGGAAACACCUUUCACCUUCAGUCAUGAACCUGGAGCCUCAGAGACAAACUUCUUACCUGACCACCAGAGGGCGGGCUCUUCUGUUAAACCAGUGGACUCACCUGCAGUGAAGGGCUGUAAAGUGUGAUGCAAACAGCGUCUUGACAGGUGGCGCUCUGCUAUGAAUCAGCUCAAGGACAGUGAAGAGGAAGCUCCGCCCUCUAAAACCACUCUGUGUGAGGAACAUGAGGGU